UUUUAGGGUUUAGAGAUUUGGGGUCGGGUUAAGGUUUAAGGUUUAGAUUAAUUAGUAAUUUUUUAAUUUCUAUAUCAAUUAAGUUCUUAUAUAAUUGUAAAAGAGGGGUUAGAGGUUAGAGGUUAGGGGUUAGGGGUUUAGGGUUUAUGUUUUAUGAUUUAUGGUUUAGGAUAUAGGGGUUAGGGGUUAGAUUAAUUGGUGUUUUUUUAAUU
Molecule: long non-coding RNA, 212 nt
Filed under: Gossypium raimondii (Peruvian cotton)
Lineage: Eukaryota; Viridiplantae; Streptophyta; Magnoliopsida; Malvales; Malvaceae
Description: long non-coding RNA (GRAI_LNC010786)
Source: RNAcentral